CGAAACGCUGUUUUUGUGUAAGUAACUUCUGAUUGGUUAUUUGACUGUCACGCCUUCACCAUUCACAGCAGUAUUGAAAAUCCUUCCCUAUGCAGGGCUUGUUAUGGACGUGCUUUGCAUUUUAAGUUGAGAGAAAAGCAGCUGCACAGCAGUUUGCUUCCGAAUCUAAUGUAGCUAUGACAAGAACUGACGUUUUAAAAAGAUGAUGCAGUGCCGCAAGAUGUCAACAAUCAGAAUGAAAAUGAAAGCAGUGUGAAGACCCAGGAAGCCUUUGCCUUGCAGAUAUCCGUGAGUCUGACAGACACACUCCCACCCACACCAAACCUGCUUGUUUGACUUUCACAGAGAUGCUUCUUCAUAAAAGGCACCUAUUAUUUAGACUCAUCAUCCUAUUCACACAAGGGUUGUCUCAAAAGCUCUGUGGAACAUUCUUCCUGCCCAGCAGUCACAGAAGCAUAGGGGCUGGAUAUCUCUCCUUCGCCUGCCAAAUGCCUUGGCUCCUACGUUGGUUGGUACAAAGUUGCUGUUACCCAUCCCUCCUGAUCUGCUUAGGAAAUCUGCCAGUCGGAGUUCCAGCUCCGACAUCAGUGCGAGGGUAACUUUGCAAUUUGUGCAACUCCUGCGACAGUUUUCCCAGCACACAAGUACUCAGAUUG
Long non-coding RNA from Polyodon spathula (Mississippi paddlefish), 656 nucleotides. RefSeq lists it as uncharacterized. The transcript has 6 exons. NCBI's taxonomy places the organism in Eukaryota, Metazoa, Chordata, Actinopteri, Acipenseriformes, Polyodontidae. The record is from RefSeq and is a predicted model, not a curated record.